Molecule: long non-coding RNA, 2296 nt
Filed under: Gossypium barbadense (sea-island cotton)
Lineage: Eukaryota; Viridiplantae; Streptophyta; Magnoliopsida; Malvales; Malvaceae
Description: long non-coding RNA (GBAR_LNC003466)
Source: RNAcentral
GAAUAAACCUUUUGCAUGUAUCUUACUUGCCAUCUAACUAGUAGGUGAUAUACUUGGUACAAUUAACAACCAUCAUAUAUUAUAUAGCCGAGAUAUAUAACAACUUAAAAAACAUUUUAUAAAGAGAAUAUAAUCUUAACAUGAGUUUAAUCCAAGACCAAAUAAGAACACAUCCAUUAUCAAUAUAAGCUGCCAUUACUCACAUAAAAAAAUAUAUAUGUAUAUGUGCCGAUCUAAUAAUCAUUUAUACUUAAUACCUCUUGCUAUCAUUUAACCAAAUAUACAUGCCAACCAAAAGAGGUUAUUACUAUCAUUACAAGUCAUAAUCGUAGCAUUUCAACUAAAGGUAACAUAUCAAAUAUAUUUUUAUACUUACCAAUGUGUCAUGGCCGAAUCAUUCAAACUACUACCAGCCCACAAAUCAAUUUCAACGUACACAAAUAUAUAUCACUAAUAACAUUCAACCAUAGCACCUAGUAUUAUAAUUAAAAUGAACACAAACCAUAAUUAAGCAUAACCGAUUUCAAGCAAGGUAGUUAAGCCAUUUUCGCAUGGCCAAUAUACAUUCAUUUCCAAAAUAACUAACCCCAAAACCAGCCUAUACAUGCCAUAAUUUAAGUUUAGCUUAAAGGUACCAAAACAGUAGACAGUGUGCUGAACCUGGUUGACAAUCCCUAAGCUUGUAGCUUGACCUCAAAAUCUAUAAAACAAAGUAAACAUAGCACAUAGAGUAAGCUAUCAAAGCUUAGUAAGUUAGAAGCAAAUAAACAACUCAAUAUCAUAAUUGACUCAUAUUAACUAAAUGAAAUGCAUUAAUAUUUUCAUGCUUGACCUCAAACUUAUAAAUUCUAUAUACAAUACAUUUCUCAUAAACUAUUAUCCACCUAAGCCGAAUACACAUGUAAUUAUUCAACACCUUAUAAAUCAACUUCCCACCAAAUAGACAUAAUAAACCACACAUCCAUUUACUCUUUUAUACAACUUAAGAAUCAUCAAAUGACAUCCCAUGUUUAAUUAAUACCUAAGUAGCCGAAUACACAAAUUAUAUAUACAUAUAUUAAGUAACAUUUCAAUACUACACAAAUUAUUCAUUCACAAGCUGAAUAAAUAUACCAAAUACACAUGGAUUCUUUAUUUGCAUUGUACAUGAUUUAUAGCACAUAACUAUAGUACUUCCUUACCUUAUCUUAAGUAGAUAUCAAGUUAACUCAUACUUGACCAUUUAGCUCGUAUUAAACAAUCCGUACAUGAUUUACCUUUGCCUGAUGAACCAUUUGAAAUUGGAUAGGACACUCGGAUAAUCACAUAAAUUGUACAAUGCCAACGUCCCAGACGUGGUCUUACAUGUAACCAAAUAUCGAUGCCACUGUCCCAGACAGGGUCUUACUCGUAAACAUAUAUCAGAAUCACAAAUCGAUGCCAUGGACUUACUCGCACACAUAUAUCGGAAUCUUAUGUCAUGACAUACGUAUCCUAGCUAUUCCUAAGGUUCAUACUGGGCUUUCGGACGUCGUAUCUCGGUCGAAUCAAACUCGGAAGUGUAGUAGCCACAUUUAAUCAUAUUCGACCAUAGUAUAUUUAAAUUCCAACAUUUCAUAACAGCAUAUGAAUAUAACAUUAAGUUACCAAUAAACACGUCUAUUUGCUUAUAAACUUACCUCGAACGAUACAAAACGAAAUCGGACAGCUAGUCGACAACUUUCGUUUUUCCCCGAUCUAAAUCCGAUUUCUUUGGUUCUUGAUCUAAACAUAUUCAAAUUAUGCUCAUUAAAACAUAUUUUCAUUCAAUUUAGUCCUAAAACACAUAAAUAGGAAAAUUACCAUCUUACCCCUGACAUUUAUAAUUUUUACAAUUUAGCCCCUAUUGCACAAAACACAAGAUACACAAAAUUUCCCUAUACUUAUGUUGGGCUGAAUUUUACCCACUCUCAAACAAGUCCGUAUAUUCAGUUUGUUUCACAUUUUAGUCCCUCAAAUUGUUAUUUUUGCAAUUAAGUCCUAAUUACUCAAAAUCAUCAAAAAUUCCAAUACAAAACAUGUUAAUCUAAAACAUAUCUUCCAUUUUUCAUCAUCAAACAACAAAAACCAAAAUCUAUCAAAAAUGGCACAACUCAAAAUAUUCAUCAAAAUAAAAAAUUCAAGCAUGGGUUUUGUAGUACUUGAAGCAACGAUCUAAAAAACGUAGAAAUUAUCAAAAAUCGAGCUGAACUCUUACCUUGAUUAAGCUUUAAAGAUGGCCAAACCCUAACCUUUGUUAUUUCUUUUUUUCUUUUUGUCUAGUUUCGAUCAAGAGAGA